This 87-nucleotide transfer RNA is filed under the name Escherichia coli. Its description in RNAcentral is "tRNA-Leu". It matches the Rfam family "tRNA". Rfam says of the family: Transfer RNA (tRNA) molecules are approximately 80 nucleotides in length. The record is from RNAcentral. RNAcentral also lists the same sequence under 1 other name. Lineage: Bacteria; Pseudomonadati; Pseudomonadota; Gammaproteobacteria; Enterobacterales; Enterobacteriaceae.
GCGAAGGUGGCGGAAUUGGUAGACGCGCUAGCUUCAGGUGUUAGUGUUCUUACGGACGUGGGGGUUCAAGUCCCCCCCCUCGCACUA